UUUGUCAAAAAUUACUUCCAGUAGAUCUUCUGCCUCUUCCACCCAGCGGGCAGAAGACACUGGAAAACAAGAUGGCGGAAGAUGACAGAUCCACCAAUAUUAAUGUUACUUUGGGCAACGGAAAACUUGUUUCUGUACAAGUAUCGCCAGAGUUGUAUGGACACUUUACUUCAUCAGAUCCUGCUUUAAAACAGUUGGCUAAACAGCUCAUCAUACAAGCAGCCAUGGAGAAA
Long non-coding RNA from Saccostrea echinata, 233 nucleotides. RefSeq lists it as uncharacterized. The record is from RefSeq and is a predicted model, not a curated record. Lineage: Eukaryota; Metazoa; Mollusca; Bivalvia; Ostreida; Ostreidae. The transcript has 3 exons.